AGGAAUGUAGCUUAGUGGUAGAGUGCUUGCCUAGCAUGCAUGAAGCCGUGGGUUCGAUUCCCCAGUAUCA
This 70-nucleotide transfer RNA is filed under the name Dipodomys ordii (Ord's kangaroo rat). It matches the Rfam family "tRNA". Rfam says of the family: Transfer RNA (tRNA) molecules are approximately 80 nucleotides in length. Their secondary structure includes four short double-helical elements and three loops (D, anti-codon, and T loops). Further hydrogen bonds mediate the characteristic L-shaped molecular structure. tRNAs have two regions of fundamental functional importance: the anti-codon, which is responsible for specific mRNA codon recognition, and the 3' end, to which the tRNAs corresponding amino acid is attached (by aminoacyl-tRNA synthetases). tRNAs cope with the degeneracy of the genetic code in two manners: having more than one tRNA (with a specific anti-codon) for a particular amino acid; and 'wobble' base-pairing, i.e. permitting non-standard base-pairing at the 3rd anti-codon position. Lineage: Eukaryota; Metazoa; Chordata; Mammalia; Rodentia; Heteromyidae. The record is from Rfam by way of RNAcentral.